Molecule: ribosomal RNA, 1371 nt
Filed under: uncultured bacterium
Lineage: Bacteria
Description: bacterial SSU rRNA
Rfam family: Bacterial small subunit ribosomal RNA
Source: RNAcentral
GAUGAACGCUGGCGGCGUGCCUAAUACAUGCAAGUCGAGCGAACGGACGAGAAGCUUGCUUCUCUGAUGUUAGCGGCGGACGGGUGAGUAACACGUGGAUAACCUACCUAUAAGACUGGGAUAACUUCGGGAAACCGGAGCUAAUACCGGAUAAUAUUUUGAACCGCAUGGUUCAAAAGUGAAAGACGGUCUUGCUGUCACUUAUAGAUGGAUCCGCGCUGCAUUAGCUAGUUGGUAAGGUAACGGCUUACCAAGGCAACGAUGCAUAGCCGACCUGAGAGGGUGAUCGGCCACACUGGAACUGAGACACGGUCCAGACUCCUACGGGAGGCAGCAGUAGGGAAUCUUCCGCAAUGGGCGAAAGCCUGACGGAGCAACGCCGCGUGAGUGAUGAAGGUCUUCGGAUCGUAAAACUCUGUUAUUAGGGAAGAACAUAUGUGUAAGUAACUGUGCACAUCUUGACGGUACCUAAUCAGAAAGCCACGGCUAACUACGUGCCAGCAGCCGCGGUAAUACGUAGGUGGCAAGCGUUAUCCGGAAUUAUUGGGCGUAAAGCGCGCGUAGGCGGUUUUUUAGUCUGAUGUGAAAGCCCACGGCUCAACCGUGGAGGGUCAUUGGAAACGGGAAAACUUGAGUGCAGAAGAGGAAAGUGGAAUUCCAUGCGUAGCGGUGAAAUGCGCAGAGAUAUGGAGGAACACCAGUGGCGAAGGCGACUUUCUGGUCUGUAACUGACGCUGAUGUGCGAAAGCGUGGGGAUCAAACGGGAUUAGAUACCCUGGUAGUCCACGCCGUAAACGAUGAGUGCUAAGUGUUAGGGGGUUUCCGCCCCUUAGUGCUGCAGCUAACGCAUUAAGCACUCCGCCUGGGGAGUACGACCGCAAGGUUGAAACUCAAAGGAAUUGACGGGGACCCGCACAAGCGGUGGAGCAUGUGGUUUAAUUCGAAGCAACGCGAAGAACCUUACCAAAUCUUGACAUCCUUUGACAACUCUAGAGAUAGAGCCUUCCCCUUCGGGGGGCAAAGUGACAGGUGGUGCAUGGUUGUCGUCAGCUCGUGUCGUGAGAUGUUGGGUUAAGUCCCGCAACGAGCGCAACCCUUAAGCUUAGUUGCCAUCAUUAAGUUGGGCACUCUAAGUUGACUGCCGGUGACAAACCGGAGGAAGGUGGGGAUGACGUCAAAUCAUCAUGCCCCUUAUGAUUUGGGCUACACACGUGCUACAAUGGACAAUACAAAGGGCAGCGAAACCGCGAGGUCAAGCAAAUCCCAUAAAGUUGUUCUCAGUUCGGAUUGUAGUCUGCAACUCGACUACAUGAAGCUGGAAUCGCUAGUAAUCGUAGAUCAGCAUGCUACGGUGAAUACGUUCCCGGGUCU